This is a long non-coding RNA of Cydia fagiglandana, 719 nucleotides long. RefSeq lists it as uncharacterized. Lineage: Eukaryota; Metazoa; Arthropoda; Insecta; Lepidoptera; Tortricidae. The transcript has 2 exons. The record is from RefSeq and is a predicted model, not a curated record.
AUUGCUUUUUAGGGUUCCGUAGCCAAAUGGCAAAAAACGGAACCCUUAUAGAUUCGUCAUGUCUGUCUGUCUGUCUGUCUGUCUGUCUGUCUGUCUGUCUGUCUGUCUGUCUGUCUGUCUGUCUGUCUGUCUGUCUGUCUGUCUGUCUGUCUGUCUGUCUGUCUGUCUGUCCGUCCGUAUGUCACAGCCACUUUGUUCCGAAACUAUAAGCACUAUACUGUUGAAACUUGGUAAGUAGAUGUAUUCUGUGAACCGCAUUAAGAUUUUCAUACAAAAAUAGAAAAAAAACAGUAAAUUUUUAGGGUUCCCCAUACAUAGAACUGAAACUCAAAAAUUUUUUUUUCAUCAAACCCAUACGUGUAUCUAUGGAUAGGUCUUCAAAAAUGAUAUUGAGGUUUCUAAUAUCAUUUUCUUCUAAACUGAAUAGUUUGCGCGAGAGACACUUCCAAAGUUACCCCACACGUAUGGGUUUGAUGAAAAAAAUUUUUUGGGUUUCCGAUCUAAGUAUGGGGAACUCCAAAAAUUUUUUGUUUUUUUUUUCUAUUUUUGUGUAAAAAUCUUAAUGCGGCUCACAGAAUACAUCUACUUACCAAGUUUCAAGAGUAUAGUUCUUAUAGUUUCGGAAAAAAGUGGCUGUGACAUACACGGACAGACGGACAGACAUGACGAAUCUAUAAGGGUUCCGUUUUUUGCCAUUUGGCUACGGAACCCUAAAAAGG